RNAcentral lists this ribosomal RNA (253 nucleotides) under uncultured microorganism. RNAcentral's name for it is "partial 16S ribosomal RNA". It matches the Rfam family "Bacterial small subunit ribosomal RNA", at positions 524 to 776 of the family's 1533-position model. The record is from RNAcentral.
UACGUAGGCUGCGAGCGUUAAUCGGAUUUACUGGGCGUAAAGCGUGCGCAGGCGGCCCGUUAAGACAGGUGUGAAAUCCCUGGGCUCAACCUAGGAAUUGCGCUUGUGACUGGCGGGCUCGAGUACGGUAGAGGGGGGUGGAAUUCCUGGUGUAGCAGUGAAAUGCGUAGAGAUCAGGAGGAACACCGAUGGCGAAGGCAGCCCCCUGGGCCUGUACUGACGCUCAUGCACGAAAGCGUGGGGAGCAAACAGG